Molecule: RNA transcript, 2130 nt
Organism: Panicum virgatum (switchgrass)
Lineage: Eukaryota; Viridiplantae; Streptophyta; Magnoliopsida; Poales; Poaceae
Gene name: probable glycerol-3-phosphate dehydrogenase [NAD(+)] 1, cytosolic
Exons: 7
Source: RefSeq, a predicted model, not a curated record
CCCUUGCUCAUUAAUGGCGGGCACUGCAUGGUUGGCGCCAUCUAUGUGCAUUAAUGCGUCCACCGACCUCCGGGCCGCCCAGCCCCAUUUAUCCGAGUCCGAGCCAAGCCGAUCGAGCGCUUGCUUCCAAUCCAGGCUCCGGGCACCACCCACCCCCACCUUGCCCGGCGCGCCUCGCCCUAAUGCCGGCUGCCGGACAGCUCCGCCCCCGGUAUCCUUGAGCUGGAGGUGGUGGUGGAUGACCAGCUCUCGGAAUUUUCUGAGCGGAAGAUCAGGGGGCGCUGUGUUAGGUCCGUGGUUGGUGAGCGGCGUUUGAAGCGAUUUCGAGCGUGGCGGGGUCGUUGUGUGAUGCAGGAAUUGGGCUCUGGGCGGAUUGCGAGAGAGAUGGUUGGAAGCGUGCACAUGAAUGGAUCGGUGCACGGUGCCAAUGGCACUGAGGAGCGGCUGGAUGAGCUGCGCCGGCUGCUCGGCAAGUCAGACGGAGACUUGCUCAAGAUCGUCAGCGUUGGUGCCGGGGCUUGGGGCAGUGUCUUUGCUGCUCUUUUGCAGGACGCCUAUGGCCAUUUUCGGGAGAAGGUGCAGAUAAGGAUUUGGCGGCGCCCGGGGAGGACGGUUGACCGGUCCACCGCGGAGCAUCUUUUUGAGGUGAUCAACUCGAGGGAAGAUGUUCUGAGGCGUCUCAUCCGCCGCUGCGCCUACUUGAAGUAUGUCGAGGCACGGCUUGGGGAUCGAAAAUUGUAUGCUGAUGAGAUAUUGAAGGAUGGAUUCUGUUUGAACAUGAUUGAAACACCGCUCUGCCCUCUGAAGGUGGUCACCAACCUGCAGGAAGCUGUUUGGGAUGCUGACAUUGUGGUCAAUGGGUUGCCAUCCACUGAGACAAGGGAGGUGUUUGAGGAGAUCAGCAAGUAUUGGAAGGAGAGGAUCAGUGUACCGGUAAUAAUUUCCCUGGCAAAGGGGAUAGAAGCCUCAUUGGAUCCAAUUCCUCAUAUCAUUACACCUACUCAAAUGAUUAGUUCGGCAACUGGAGUUCCAACUGAGAAUAUACUAUAUCUUGGAGGACCAAACAUCGCCUCAGAAAUUUAUAACAAAGAAUACGCAAAUGCUCGAAUCUGUGGAUCCAACAAGUGGAGGAAGCCUCUUGCUAAGUUUUUGAGGCAGCCACAUUUCACUGUCUGGGACAACAGUGAUCUUGUCACUCAUGAGGUGAUGGGUGGCUUGAAGAAUGUCUAUGCAAUUGGCGCUGGAAUGGUGGCAGCUUUAACAAAUGAGAGUGCAACAAGCAAAUCUGUAUAUUUUGCUCAUUGCACGUCAGAGAUGAUAUUCAUUACUCACUUGCUGACAGAACAACCAGAGAAACUUGCUGGUCCUCUGCUGGCUGAUACUUAUGUAACUCUCCUAAAAGGUCGCAAUGCAUGGUAUGGGCAAAUGCUUGCCAAGGGGGAGUUGAGUCCUGACAUGGGUGAUAGUAUCAAGGGAAAGGGAAUGAUUCAGGAGAUGUCAAAGCUUCCUGGAUGUUGGACAACCCUGACUUUUGCAAUUGUCCCUUUUUCCUUUUAACAUGGUGUGUUUCACAACAAUUGUUUUAUCAUUCCAUUUGACAGGGUAUCUCUGCUGUUGGUGCAUUUUUUGAGCUGCUUAGUCAACCCAGCUUAAGUGUACAACACCCGGAAGAAAACAAGCAGGUCGCUCCGGCUGAACUAUGCCCAAUCCUGAAGAGGCUUUACAGAAUACUGAUAAAAAGGGAGCUCCCAGCAAGAGACAUUCUCCAAGCCUUGAGGGAUGAAACGAUGAAUGAUCCUCGCGAAAGGAUUGAGAUGGCACAAAGCCAUGCAUUCUACCGCCCAUCUCUCCUUGGAAAACCAUGAUCUUCUUACUCUUGUAUAUUAGUAGAACAUAAACGAAGGCGGGAGGAGAUCAAUUCGCCAAGCUAUGGAUCAUUCUUGAUCGCGCUUGGUGGUCUCUCCGCGAUGCUGUUGGCAUGUCCGAGUUACAGGGCCUUUUUUUUCAGUUGUGGAAUUCUUUGUGCUUCUUCGUUGCUACAUCGUAGAAGAGAUUACUGAAUCAAUAAAUAUUAUUUGCAUGGCCAUGUUGUGGAUAACUGAAUCAUGUAUGCCAGAUUUGGAGGAAUUA